CAGUAGCCGCGGUAAUACGUAGGUCCCGAGCGUUGUCCGGAUUUAUUGGGCGUAAAGCGAGCGCAGGCGGUUAGAUAAGUCUGAAGUUAAAGGCUGGGGCUUAACCAUAGUACGCUUUGGAAACUGUUUAACUUGAGUGCAAGAGGGGAGAGUGGAAUUCCAUGUGUAGCGGUGAAAUGCGUAGAUAUAUGGAGGAACACCGGUGGCGAGAGCGGCUCUCUGGCUUGUAGCUGACGCUGAGGCUCGAAAGCGUGGGGCGCAAACAGGAUUAGAUACCCCGGUAGUCCCUGUCUCUUAUACA
This 301-nucleotide ribosomal RNA is filed under the name uncultured bacterium. RNAcentral's name for it is "partial 16S ribosomal RNA". It matches the Rfam family "Bacterial small subunit ribosomal RNA", at positions 509 to 808 of the family's 1533-position model. The record is from RNAcentral.